This 497-nucleotide ribosomal RNA is filed under the name uncultured bacterium. Its description in RNAcentral is "partial 16S ribosomal RNA". It matches the Rfam family "Bacterial small subunit ribosomal RNA", at positions 28 to 507 of the family's 1533-position model. The record is from RNAcentral.
GAUGAACGCUGGCGGCGUGCCUAACACAUGCAAGUCGAGCGAACGAACGAAACUUUCUCUUCUCUUAUGUUACCGACGGGUGGGUGAGUCAUACGUAGCUAACCUAUAUAUAAGGCUGAGAUAAGUUAGGGAGAGCGGAGCUCAUACCCGAUGAGAUUUUGAACGGCAUGGUUCUACAGAGAUAGACCGUUUUGCUGUGACUUAUAGAUGUAUCCGCGUUGUAUUAGCUAGUUGGUAAGGUAACGGCCUACCAAGGCAACGAUGCGUAGCCGAUCUGAGAGGAUGAUCGGCCACACUGGAACUGAGACACGGUCCAGACUCCUACGGGAGGCAGCAGUAGGGAAUGUUCGGCAAUGGGCGAAAGCCUGACGGAGCAACGCCGCGUGUGUGAUGAAGGUCUUCGGAUCGUAAAGCUCUGUUAUUAGGGAAGAACAUAUGUGAGUGUAAAUGUGGAGAUCUUGACGGUACCUACAGAAAAAGCAACGGCUAACUACGUG